RNAcentral lists this ribosomal RNA (254 nucleotides) under uncultured bacterium. RNAcentral's name for it is "partial 16S ribosomal RNA". It matches the Rfam family "Bacterial small subunit ribosomal RNA", at positions 524 to 776 of the family's 1533-position model. The record is from RNAcentral.
UACGUAGGGUGCGAGCGUUGUCCGGAAUUACUGGGCGUAAAGAGCUCGUAGGUGGUUUGUCGCGUUGUUCGUGAAAACUCACAGCUCAACUGUGGGCGUGCGGGCGAUACGGGCAGACUGGAGUACUGCAGGGGAGACUGGAAUUCCUGGUGUAGCGGUGAAAUGCGCAGAUAUCAGGAGGAACACCGAUGGCGAAGGCGGCAUCCUGGACCGGCAUUGACGCUGAGUGAGCGAAAGCCAGGGGAGCAAACGGG